This 634-nucleotide ribosomal RNA is filed under the name uncultured bacterium. RNAcentral's name for it is "bacterial SSU rRNA". It matches the Rfam family "Bacterial small subunit ribosomal RNA", at positions 28 to 655 of the family's 1533-position model. The record is from RNAcentral.
AUUGAACACUGGCGGCAUGCCUAACACAUGCAAGUCGAACGGUAACAGGCCCUUCGGGGUGCUGACGAGUGGCAGACGGGUGAGCAAUGCGUAGGAAUCUGCCCUGUAGUGGGGGAUAGCUCGGCGAAAGCCGAAUUAAUACCGCAUACGAUCUACGGAUGAAAGCGGGGGACCGCAAGGCCUCGCGCUAUAGGAUGAGCCUACGUCUGAUUAGCUAGUUGGUAGGGUAAUGGCCUACCAAGGCGACGAUCAGUAGCUGGUCUGAGAGGAUGAUCAGCCACACCGGGAACUGAGACACGGUCCGGACUCCUACGGGAGGCACAUGGGGAAUNUUGGACAAUGGGGGAAACCCUGAUCCAGCAAUGCCGCGUGUGUGAAGAAGGCCUGCGGGUUGUAAAGCACUUUUGUUGGGGAAGAAAAGCCAUCGGAUAAUACCUGGUGGUCUUGACGGUACCCCAAAAGGAAUGAGCACCGGCUAACUCCGUGCCAGCAGCCGCGGUAAUACGGAGGGUGCGAGCGUUAAUCGGAAUUACUGGGCGUAAAGCGCGCGUAGGCGGUUUGAUAAGUCGGGUGUGAAAGCCCCGGGCUUAACCUGGGAAUUGCAUUCGAUACUGUCAGACUCGAGUCUAGGAGA